This 253-nucleotide ribosomal RNA is filed under the name uncultured bacterium. RNAcentral describes it as "partial 16S ribosomal RNA". It matches the Rfam family "Bacterial small subunit ribosomal RNA", at positions 524 to 776 of the family's 1533-position model. The record is from RNAcentral.
UACGUAGGGGCCGAGCGUUGUCCGGAGUUAUUGGGCGUAAAGGGCGCGUAGGCGGCCUGCUAAGUCGAACGUGAAAUCCCUGGGCUCAACCCAGGAACUGCGUCCGAUACUGGUUGGCUUGAAUCCGGGAGAGGGAUGUGGAAUUCCAGGUGUAGCGGUGAAAUGCGUAGAUAUCUGGAGGAACACCGGUGGCGAAGGCGACAUCCUGGACCGGUAUUGACGCUGAGGCGCGAAAGCCAGGGGAGCAAACGGG